CAGCAGCCGCGGGAAUACGAAGGGGGCUAGCGUUGUUCGGAUUUACUGGGCGUAAAGCGCACGUAGGCGGACUUUUAAGUCAGGGGUGAAAUCCCGGGGCUCAACCCCGGAACUGCCUUUGAUACUGGAAGUCUUGAGUAUGGUAGAGGUGAGUGGAAUUCCGAGUGUAGAGGUGAAAUUCGUAGAUAUUCGGAGGAACACCAGUGGCGAAGGCGGCUCACUGGACCAUUACUGACGCUGAGGUGCGAAAGCGUGGGGAGCAAACAGGAUUAGAUACCCCCGUAGUCCCUGUCUCUUAUAC
RNAcentral lists this ribosomal RNA (301 nucleotides) under uncultured bacterium. RNAcentral describes it as "partial 16S ribosomal RNA". It matches the Rfam family "Bacterial small subunit ribosomal RNA", at positions 509 to 807 of the family's 1533-position model. The record is from RNAcentral.